GGGGAAUAUGGCACAAUGGGGGAAACCCUGAUGCAGCAACGCGGCGUGAAGGAAGACGGUUUUCGGAUGGUAAACUUCUGUUCUUAGUGAAGAAUAAUGACGGUAGUUAAGGAGCAAGCCACGGCUAACUACGUGCCAGCAGCCGCGGUAAUACGUAGGUGGCAAGCGUUGUCCGGAAUUACUGGGUGUAAAGGGAGCGUAGGCGGGAUGCCAAGUCAGCUGUGAAAACUAUGGGCUUAACCUGUAGACUGCAGUUGAAACUGGUAUUCUUGAGUGAAGUAGAGGUUGGCGGAAUUCCGAGUGUAGCGGUGAAAUGCGUAGAUAUUCGGAGGAACACCGGUGGCGAAGGCGGCCAACUGGGCUUUAACUGACGCUGAGGCUCGAAAGUGUGGGGAGCAAACAGGAUUAGAUACCCUGGUAGUCCACACUGUAAACGAUGAUAAUCUAGGUGUGGGGGGUC
This 460-nucleotide ribosomal RNA is filed under the name uncultured bacterium. RNAcentral describes it as "bacterial SSU rRNA". It matches the Rfam family "Bacterial small subunit ribosomal RNA", at positions 356 to 831 of the family's 1533-position model. The record is from RNAcentral.